ACGGGGGGUGCAAGCGUUGUUCGGAAUUAUUGGGCGUAAAGCGCGUGUAGGCGGUCUGAUUAGUCUGAUGUGAAAGCCCUGGGCUCAACCCAGGAAGUGCAUUGGAUACUGUCAGACUUGAAUACGGGAGAGGGUAGUGGAAUUCCUAGUGUAGGAGUGAAAUCCGUAGAUAUUAGGAGGAACACCGGUGGCGAAGGCGGCUACCUGGACCGAUAUUGACGCUGAGACGCGAAAGCGUGGGUAGCAAACAGGAUUAGAUACCCUGGUAGUCCACGCCGUAAACGAUGAGAACUAGGUGUUGCGGGUAUUGACCCCUGCAGUGCCGCAGCUAACGCAUUAAGUUCUCCGCCUGGGAAGUACGGUCGCAAGACUA
Molecule: ribosomal RNA, 373 nt
Filed under: uncultured bacterium
Lineage: Bacteria
Description: bacterial SSU rRNA
Rfam family: Bacterial small subunit ribosomal RNA
Source: RNAcentral